This 492-nucleotide ribosomal RNA is filed under the name uncultured bacterium. RNAcentral describes it as "partial 16S ribosomal RNA". It matches the Rfam family "Bacterial small subunit ribosomal RNA", at positions 29 to 507 of the family's 1533-position model. The record is from RNAcentral.
AGUGAACGCUGGCGGUAGGCCUAACACAUGCAAGUCGAACGGAAGCACAGUAAUAGCUUGCUAUUACGGGUGGCGAGGGGCGGACGGGUGAGGAGUACAUCGCAAUCGACUUUUUCGUGGGGGAUAACGUAGGGAGACAUACGCUAAUACCGCAUACGACCUACGGGUGAAAGCAGGGGAGCUUCGGACCUUGCGCGAUUGAUUGAGCCGAUGUCGGAUUAGGUAGUUGGCGGGGUAAAGGCCCACCAAGGCGACGAUCCGUAGCUGGUCUGAGAGGAUGAACAGCCACACUGGAACUGAGACACGGUCCAGACUCCUACGGGAGGCAGCAGUGGGGAAUAUUGGACAAUGGGCGGAAGCCUGCUCCAGCCAUACCGGGUGGGUGAAGAAGGCCUUCGGGUUGUAAAGCCCUUUUGUUGGGAAAGAAAAGCAGCAGGUUAAUCCCCCGCUGUUCUGACGGUACCCAAUGAAUAAGCACCGGCUAACUUCGUG